GAUGAACGCUGGCGGCGUGCCUAAUACAUGCAAGUCGAGCGAACAGACGAGGAGCUUGCUCCUCUGACGUUAGCGGCGGACGGGUGAGUAACACGUGGAUAACCUACCUAUAAGACUGGGAUAACUUCGGGAAACCGGAGCUAAUACCGGAUAAUAUAUUGAACCGCAUGGUUCAAUAGUGAAAGACGGUUUUGCUGUCACUUAUAGAUGGAUCCGCGCCGCAUUAGCUAGUUGGUAAGGUAACGGCUUACCAAGGCAACGAUGCGUAGCCGACCUGAGGGGGUGAUCGGCCACACUGGAACUGGGACACGGCCCAGACCCCUACGGGAGGAAGCAGAAGGGAAUCUUCCGAAAUGGGCGAAGGCCUGACGGAGAAACGCGGGGUGGGUGAUGAAGGCCUUCGGAUCGUAAAACUCUGUUAUUAGGAAAGAAAAAAUGUGUAAGUAACAAUGCAGGUCUGGACGGUACCAAAUAAGAAAGCCACGGCUAACUACGU
This 496-nucleotide ribosomal RNA is filed under the name uncultured bacterium. Its description in RNAcentral is "partial 16S ribosomal RNA". It matches the Rfam family "Bacterial small subunit ribosomal RNA", at positions 28 to 506 of the family's 1533-position model. The record is from RNAcentral.